ACGCUGUUUAUAGAUGUAACUGUUACUGGAAAUGUGCAAUUAGUGCAAGUACUAAAAAAGGAACGUAGAAAUAGCACAAGUUGAUCAACACUGAAAAGCGGAACUAAACUCCACUCGCCAUCAAAAACCAAUCGACUUUGGUGCGAAACACUUGAUGAAGGUUCGUUCGCAGGAAACGAUGAAAAUAAAUAAAGACAAGCAGACGGAAAAGCCAAAGGAAAGUCAAUCAGACGACAAAGCAAGCGAACAAAUAAAUCUUGCAAGUGCCUUGAAACACUGGUCGCUAAAAAUACAAUUCACAUCGGUUCGCCCCGUUGACUGACGCUGUGCGGCACAGCCACAGUCACAGCCACAGUCACAAACACUGGCAAACACACAAAUCAUUGACAGGCAAACCACAGCUAACUUAACGAAACGGGAGAGCGCGUGCCAAAAACUGCCGCUCAGAGAGAAGGAGGAGCAGAGCCGAGCAGUGAGCGUGAGUGUGAGUGUGAGUGUGAGAGAGAGAGAGAGGCAAAGAGAUAGAGAGCGCGUGCAAGAGGUUACAAUUUCGUAAUAAGUGUGCGGGCCAAGCAGCUGAUUGUUUAUUUGAUAUUACCGAUAGCAAGACACACACACACAAACAGCCGAUGGCUUGAGUAGAGGCGUAUACCGAUCGUCGAGCAAACAAAAGGAAUCAAAGAACGGGGAGGGCUGCAAGGGCAACAGCACGAAAGCUUAGUCAGCGAAAGCCCCCAACAACAGCAGCAGCAGCAAUAACAACAACAAGAACUACAGUAAAAGCA
Long non-coding RNA from Drosophila navojoa, 785 nucleotides. NCBI's taxonomy places the organism in Eukaryota, Metazoa, Arthropoda, Insecta, Diptera, Drosophilidae. The record is from RefSeq and is a predicted model, not a curated record.